CUUGGUGCACAUGAUGACUGACCUUUUUUCCCCAGCAGAUCGAUAGUGUUGACUCCCUUAAUCAAUUUAAGCCAAUUUAUCUGAAGCACCUUC
Molecule: non-coding RNA, 93 nt
Organism: Danio rerio (zebrafish)
Lineage: Eukaryota; Metazoa; Chordata; Actinopteri; Cypriniformes; Danionidae
Source: Rfam